GACGAACGCUGGCGGCGCGCCUAACACAUGCAAGUCGAACGAGCGAGAGAGAGCUUGCUUUCUUGAGCGAGUGGCGAACGGGUGAGUAACGCGUGAGGAACCUGCCUCAAAGAGGGGGACAACAGUUGGAAACGACUGCUAAUACCGCAUAAGCCCACGACCCGGCAUCGGGUUGAGGGAAAAGGAGCAAUCCGCUUUGUGAUGGCCUCGCGUCCGAUUAGCUAGUUGGUGAGGUAACGGCCCACCAAGGCGACGAUCGGUAGCCGGACUGAGAGGUUGAACGGCCACAUUGGGACUGAGACACGGCCCAGACUCCUACGGGAGGCAGCAGUGGGGAAUAUUGCACAAUGGGGGAAACCCUGAUGCAGCGACGCCGCGUGGAGGAAGAAGGUCUUCGGAUUGUAAACUCCUGUUGUUGAGGAAGAUAAUGACGGUACUCAACAAGGAAGUGACGGCUAACUACGU
This 465-nucleotide ribosomal RNA is filed under the name uncultured bacterium. Its description in RNAcentral is "partial 16S ribosomal RNA". It matches the Rfam family "Bacterial small subunit ribosomal RNA", at positions 28 to 506 of the family's 1533-position model. The record is from RNAcentral.